GGCUGGGCGGCGGCUACCAUGCAAGUCGAGCGGAGAGAGGUAGCUUGCUACUGAUCUUAGCGGCGGACGGGUGAGUAAUGCUUAGGAAUCUGCCUAUUAGUGGGGGACAACAUUUCGAAAGGAAUGCUAAUACCGCAUACGUCCUACGGGAGAAAGCAGGGGAUCUUCGGACCUUGCGCUAAUAGAUGAGCCUAAGUCGGAUUAGCUAGUUGGUGGGGUAAAGGCCUACCAAGGCGACGAUCUGUAGCGGGUCUGAGAGGAUGAUCCGCCACACUGGGACUGAGACACGGCCCAGACUCCUACGGGAGGCAGCAGUGGGGAAUAUUGGACAAUGGGCGCAAGCCUGAUCCAGCCAUGCCGCGUGUGUGAAGAAGGCCUUAUGGUUGUAAAGCACUUUAAGCGAGGAGGAGGCUACUUUAGUUAAUACCUAGAGAUAGUGGACGUUACUCGCAGAAUAAGCACCGGCUAACUCUGUGCCAGCAGCCGCGGUAAUACAGAGGGUGCAAGCGUUAAUCGGAUUUACUGGGCGUAAAGCGCGCGUAGGCGGCUAAUUAAGUCAAAUGUGAAAUCCCCGAGCUUAACUUGGGAAUUGCAUUCGAUACUGGUUAGCUAGAGUGUGGGAGAGGAUGGUAGAAUUCCAGGUGUAGCGGUGAAAUGCGUAGAGAUCUGGAGGAAUACCGAUGGCGAAGGCAGCCAUCUGGCCUAACACUGACGCUGAGGUGCGAAAGCAUGGGGAGCAAACAGGAUUAGAUACCCUGGUAGUCCAUGCCGUAAACGAUGUCUACUAGCCGUUGGGGCCUUUGAGGCUUUAGUGGCGCAGCUAACGCGAUAAGUAGACCGCCUGGGGAGUACGGUCGCAAGACUAAAACUCAAAUGAAUUGACGGGGGCCCGCACAAGCGGUGGAGCAUGUGGUUUAAUUCGAUGCAACGCGAAGAACCUUACCUGGCCUUGACAUAGUAAGAACUUUCCAGAGAUGGAUUGGUGCCUUCGGGAACUUACAUACAGGUGCUGCAUGGCUGUCGUCAGCUCGUGUCGUGAAAUGUUGGGUUAAGUCCCGCAACGAGCCGAACCCUUUUCCUUAUUUGCCAACCAUAAAUGUCGG
This 1103-nucleotide ribosomal RNA is filed under the name Acinetobacter calcoaceticus. RNAcentral describes it as "bacterial SSU rRNA". It matches the Rfam family "Bacterial small subunit ribosomal RNA", at positions 34 to 1134 of the family's 1533-position model. The record is from RNAcentral. Lineage: Bacteria; Pseudomonadati; Pseudomonadota; Gammaproteobacteria; Moraxellales; Moraxellaceae.